GGCGACGUAGCCAAGUGGCCAAGGCAGAGGUCUGCAAAACCUUGAUCGUGGGUCCAAAUCCCACCGUCGCCU
RNAcentral lists this transfer RNA (72 nucleotides) under Chloroflexota bacterium. Its description in RNAcentral is "Chloroflexi bacterium tRNA-Cys". It matches the Rfam family "tRNA". From Rfam's summary of the family: Transfer RNA (tRNA) molecules are approximately 80 nucleotides in length. Their secondary structure includes four short double-helical elements and three loops (D, anti-codon, and T loops). Further hydrogen bonds mediate the characteristic L-shaped molecular structure. tRNAs have two regions of fundamental functional importance: the anti-codon, which is responsible for specific mRNA codon recognition, and the 3' end, to which the tRNAs corresponding amino acid is attached (by aminoacyl-tRNA synthetases). tRNAs cope with the degeneracy of the genetic code in two manners: having more than one tRNA (with a specific anti-codon) for a particular amino acid; and 'wobble' base-pairing, i.e. permitting non-standard base-pairing at the 3rd anti-codon position. Lineage: Bacteria; Bacillati; Chloroflexota. The record is from RNAcentral.